AUUGAACGCUGGCGGCAGGCCUAACACAUGCAAGUCGAGCGGAUGAAGGGAGCUUGCUCCUGGAUUCAGCGGCGGACGGGUGAGUAAUGCCUAGGAAUCUGCCUGGUAGUGGGGGAUAACGUCCGGAAACGGGCGCUAAUACCGCAUACGUCCUGAGGGAGAAAGUGGGGGAUCUUCGGACCUCACGCUAUCAGAUGAGCCUAGGUCGGAUUAGCUAGUUGGUGGGGUAAAGGCCCACCAAGGCGACGAUCCGUAACUGGUCUGAGAGGAUGACCAGUCACACUGGAACUGAGACACGGUCCAGACUCCUACGGGAGGCAGCAGUGGGGAAUAUUGGACAAUGGGCGAAAGCCUGAUCCAGCCAUGCCGCGUGUGUGAAGAAGGUCUUCGGAUUGUAAAGCACUUUAAGUUGGGAGGAAGGGCAGUAAGUUAAUACCUUGCUGUUUUGACGUUACCAACAGAAUAAGCACCGGCUAACUUCGUG
Molecule: ribosomal RNA, 484 nt
Filed under: uncultured bacterium
Lineage: Bacteria
Description: partial 16S ribosomal RNA
Rfam family: Bacterial small subunit ribosomal RNA
Source: RNAcentral